GAUGAACGCUAGCGGCAGGCUUAAUACAUGCAAGUCGAGGGGCAGCAGUCCCGCAGCAAUGCGGGAGCUGGCGACCGGCAAACGGGUGCGGAACACGUACAGAACCUUCCUUCGAGCGGGGAAUAGCCCAGAGAAAUUUGGAUUAAUACCCCAUAGCAUUACGAAGUGGCAUCACUUUGUAAUUAAAGAUUUAUCACUCGAAGAUGGCUGUGCGGCUGAUAGGUAGUUGGCGGAGUAACGGCCCACCAAGCCUUCGAUCAGUAACUGGUGUGAGAGCACGACCAGUCACACGGGCACUGAGACACGGGCCCGACUCCUACGGGAGGCAGCAGUAAGGAAUAUUGGUCAAUGGACGAAAGUCUGAACCAGCCAUGCCGC
This 378-nucleotide ribosomal RNA is filed under the name uncultured bacterium. RNAcentral's name for it is "bacterial SSU rRNA". It matches the Rfam family "Bacterial small subunit ribosomal RNA", at positions 28 to 400 of the family's 1533-position model. The record is from RNAcentral.